UCGAGAAUAUUCCCCAAUGCGCGAAAGCGUGAGGGAGCGACGCCGCGUGCCAGAUGAAGGCCUUCGGGUUGUAAAUGGCUUUUUUUGAGGACGAACAAAUGACGGUACUCAGAGAAUAAGGGGCUGCUAACUUCGUGCCAGCAGCAGCGGUAAUACGAAGGCCCCAAGCAUUAUCCGGAUUAAUUGGGUGUAAAGGGUCCGUAGGCGGUCGUUCAAGUCGCGCGUUAAAUCGUUGGGCUCAACCCAACGCCUGCAUGCGAUACUGUUCGACUAGAGACUGGAAGAGGUACACGGAAUUGCCGGUGUAGCGGUAGAAUGCGUUAAUAUCGGCAAGAACACCAAAUGCGAAAGCAGUGUACUGGGACAGUUCUGACGCUAAGGGACGAAAGCGUGGGGAGCG
RNAcentral lists this ribosomal RNA (400 nucleotides) under uncultured bacterium. RNAcentral describes it as "bacterial SSU rRNA". It matches the Rfam family "Bacterial small subunit ribosomal RNA", at positions 355 to 770 of the family's 1533-position model. The record is from RNAcentral.